This 240-nucleotide unclassified non-coding RNA is filed under the name soil metagenome. RNAcentral describes it as "partial contains 5.8S ribosomal RNA, internal transcribed spacer 2, and large subunit ribosomal RNA". The record is from RNAcentral.
AACCAUUCUCACCUGCGGCUAGACCUGCGGAAGGAUCAUUAACAAGCCGUGGGGAUCACCCUGAAAGGGGCAGAUUCCUCACCUGGCCAUCCUUGUUUACUUUAAUGCUGUUGCUUUGGUGAGCCUGCCAUCAGGCUGCCGGUGAAACUCAGUUUCCGGGUUCGUUGUUCACCAAGCUUUUAACUAAAUCUGUAAAGUUUUGUUGUCUGAGUGAAAGCAUAACUUGUAAAAAACUUUCAA